AUAGCAUAUAAGUAAGUGGUGGAAGAAAAAAUAAACAUGAUUCUUUUAGUAAUGGCGAAUGAACAAAGACAUGGUCAUUUUGAAAAUUGUGGUCUUAGAUCAUGAAUUGUAUUUUCAAAAUGCAUUGCUAACACAACUGCACAUGUUUGUUUAUUGGAAAGAACAUCACAAAGGGUGACAAUCCCAUGUGUCAUGUGUAUGUUUUGUGUACAGCGUGCAUUAUAUGAAUCACAUUCAUUGACAAUUGAAUGCAAAUAGAAUGGUAAAUUUCAUUUAAUCAUAAAUAUGUUGUUGACAACUUAUAGCAAACAAAUACCAUGAGGGAAAUGUGAAAAGGAUUUUGAAAAGAAAAUUAAAAGAGCUUGCAAUUGCUGAACUGAUAAGCAAACAAAACAUACGUGUGUAUGCAAGAUUGUUGUAAUGCUUAGCAUCCUAUGCAAGGCUAUUGCAAUGAUUUUUUGUAUAGUGAUGCUACCUUUUUUUAGAAUUUGGAAUGUCUUUUUUUGAGUGUGAAUGGAAUUUUGUUUGUUAGCAAAGGAAUGCACUUUUAGAUUCAUUGUUUGAUUUGAUUUAAAAAUGUUUGUGACACAUGUCUUUGUUUUAGUUUCAUGCUUCAACCAAGGACAUUGUGUUUGAUCCAUAUCAGCAAUACAUGUUUUGUUUGACCCGUCUUGAAACACGGACCAAGGAGUUUAAUUUAUGUGCAAGAUCAUGAAACUGACAUUUGUAUAUCAAUGAAAAUAUUUUGUUGGGAUUUGUGCACCAACAACUGAUAAGUUGUGUGACGCGACGUUGAGUUUGAGCAUGUUGAUUAAAACCCGAAAGAUGGUGAACUAUGCCUGAACAGAAUGAAGUCAGAGGA
RNAcentral lists this ribosomal RNA (862 nucleotides) under Coolia malayensis. RNAcentral's name for it is "partial large subunit ribosomal RNA". It matches the Rfam family "Eukaryotic large subunit ribosomal RNA", at positions 35 to 859 of the family's 3401-position model. The record is from RNAcentral. Lineage: Eukaryota; Dinophyceae; Peridiniales; Ostreopsidaceae.